This is a long non-coding RNA of Hydra vulgaris (swiftwater hydra), 851 nucleotides long. RefSeq lists it as uncharacterized. Lineage: Eukaryota; Metazoa; Cnidaria; Hydrozoa; Anthoathecata; Hydridae. The record is from RefSeq and is a predicted model, not a curated record.
CUGACAGGUUUGACUGACAAUAUAAAUAAUGUUGUUCAUCGUUUAUAUUGUUUAUAACAUCGUCAGUUUUUAUAUGCAUUUAAUAUUUUUUUAAAUAGUUCAAAAGCUGUCAAAAUAAAAUAGUGAAUUGAGUUCAAACUAACCAGAAAAGAUAUAAACGUAAUCUCUGGGAUUCAACUUGAAAGAAUGUUCCAAGAACCACUUAGUUGGAGAACGAAAACUGUGUCAAAUUUACCUGCAUUAUAAUAUAUACUGGCAAUAUAAAUAAUGUUGUAUAUCAUGCAGACAGCUCAGACAAAGAACCGUUCAUUUACAAGUCCGGUGCUUUAUAAUAUAUUUAAAGAUGGUAAGGACAUGAAGAAACAGGUUUGUAAAUGAUGUUGUACAUCAUGCAGAUAGCUCAGAAGAAGAAGUAAGUUUUUUUUUUAAUUACAAAAAUAAAUAUUUAAUAUAAUAUUUGUUGCUGCCUUGUUCUAUAUAAAUGUUUCUAACAUGCAGGUAACAUUUAUAUAUGUAUUAGUUUGAAUAAAUCAUUUUAAUUAGGCAGUUACAUUAUAGGCAGGACUGGAAAUAUAAACGAUGUUGUACAUAAUCCAGAUAGCUAAGGCGAAAAAGAGAUUGGUGAAAUGGAGAAUGAGACUAACUACGGUGAAAAAAUAAUGAAUAUCAAAAUGUGAAUGGUACUUUGUUUGACAUCUACCUGUUUCUACAGACACAAUGCAGUUGCACUUAUAAAUGGGGUUGAUGUUUUUUUUGGAUUGAAUAUGUUGUAUUGAUGGUUCUUUUUAACUUGUUAAAACUUUAAGUUAUUAUCAAAUUUAUAUAUACUAUUUUUAUCAAAUAGUUAAUAU